This 462-nucleotide ribosomal RNA is filed under the name uncultured bacterium. RNAcentral's name for it is "partial 16S ribosomal RNA". It matches the Rfam family "Bacterial small subunit ribosomal RNA", at positions 28 to 507 of the family's 1533-position model. The record is from RNAcentral.
GAUGAACGCUGACAGAAUGCUUAACACAUGCAAGUCUUUGGCGAAGCUGUGCUUGCACCGCCUAGCCAAGGCGGACGGGUAGGUAAGGCUAAAGGAACUUACCCUCCGUUCAGGAAUAACAUACGUAAAGGACGGAUAAGCCCUUGAAAGGUAAGCCGUACUCAUGCCCGGCUUAAUAAAAAAAGAUGCUGCAGGAGAGCCUUGCGGCCGAUUAGCUUGUUGGUGGGGUAACGGCCCACCAAGGGGAUGAUAGGUAGCCGGCCUGAGAGGGUGGACGGCCACAAGGGGACUGAGAUACGGCCCUUACUCCUACGGGAGGCAGCAGUGGGGAAUAUUGGACAAUGGGGGCAACCCUGAUCCAGCAAUUCUGUGUGCACAAUGAAGGUUUUCGGAUUGUAAAGUGCUUUCAGCAGGGAAGAAAAAAUGACGGUACCUGCAGAAGAAGCGACGGCUAAAUACGUG